GGAGUUAGCCGGUGCUUCUUCUGCGAGUAACGUCACAGAUGUAAGGUAUUAACUUACACCCUUUCCUCCUCGCUGAAAGUGCUUUACAACCCGAAGGCCUUCUUCACACACGCGGCAUGGCUGCAUCAGGGUUUCCCCCAUUGUGCAAUAUUCCCCACUGCUGCCUCCCGUAGGAGUCUGGGCCGUGUCUCAGUCCCAGUGUGGCUGAUCAUCCUCUCAGACCAGCUAGGGAUCGUCGCCUAGGUGAGCCUUUACCUCACCUACUAGCUAAUCCCACCUGGGCUUAUCCAUCAGCGCAAGGCCCGAAGGUCCCCUGCUUUCCCCCGUAGGGCGUAUGCGGUAUUAGCAGUCGUUUCCAACUGUUAUCCCCCACAAAUGGGCAAAUUCCCAGGCAUUACUCACCCGUCCGCCGCUCGUCAUCUUCAAAAGCAAGCUUUUGAAAUGUUACCGCUCGACUUGCAUGUGUUAGGCCUGCCGCCAGCGUUCAAUCUGAACGACGAUCGAAAUUCUAACGUACUUGAACGUCGGGACGUCGGGGCCUAAGGGGCCGAACGGACGUACGAUAG
Molecule: ribosomal RNA, 566 nt
Filed under: uncultured bacterium
Lineage: Bacteria
Description: partial 16S ribosomal RNA
Source: RNAcentral